UUAAGUUCAGCGGGUAUCCCUACCUGAUCCGAGGUCAAACUGUGAAGAAGUGACUUCUGGUCGCCGAUCCGCCGGGCCUCGAGUUCGCGUUUCUGCUGCGCUCGAAGCCAACGUACCGGCCGCCAAUGAUUUUGAGGCGAGUCCCCGCGGUGAGGCGGGGACAGACACCCAACACCAAGCUGAGCUUGAGGUUUCAAAUG
RNAcentral lists this unclassified non-coding RNA (200 nucleotides) under Preussia sp. (in: ascomycete fungi). RNAcentral describes it as "Preussia sp. (in: Fungi) partial internal transcribed spacer 2". The record is from RNAcentral. Lineage: Eukaryota; Fungi; Ascomycota; Dothideomycetes; Pleosporales; Sporormiaceae.